Molecule: long non-coding RNA, 584 nt
Organism: Lepidothrix coronata (blue-crowned manakin)
Lineage: Eukaryota; Metazoa; Chordata; Aves; Passeriformes; Pipridae
Exons: 3
Source: RefSeq, a predicted model, not a curated record
ACUUGUUUGCGGCUCCCAGUAAUAAGAGGGCGCCUGUUCCAGCCUGGGCCCUGCUGGGCCCACGGUAAAAACCUUUCAGAAAGCUUUCCCUUUCAGGGAGGAUGCCUCGGAGGGAAUCACAGAAUCAGUUGGGUUGGAAAAGACCUCUGAGAUCAUCGAGUCCAACCUUAUGACGGAAGCACCUUGUCAACCAGAAAAUCCGUCUUUCCUUAAAACACUCCAGGGGCAGUGACUCCAUCACCUCCCUGGGCAGUUCAUUUCAGUGUGUAAUCACUCUUUCUGUGAAGGAAUCAUUCCUAAUGUCUGACUUGAACCUCCCCUGGCACAGCUUAAGACUAUGACUUAAAGCUGAUGGAAGGCCCCAUUGAAACCUUAGGCCCUGCUGGCAGGGAUAGACACCGAAUAGCACUGUCUCCGUGUGUGCCAGUGUGAUACCACAACAAAGACAGAGCCUGCUAAUUUUGAAGACAAUGAAACGUUCAGCAUAUAUUCCACAUAUCAGGUUUAACAUUCCCCGGUGCUACCUUAUGAAAAAGCAGAAAAUUACAUAGAUGGCCCUGAGACUUGUAAAAUUGCAAACAGGA